RNAcentral lists this ribosomal RNA (465 nucleotides) under Vreelandella stevensii. RNAcentral's name for it is "partial 16S ribosomal RNA". It matches the Rfam family "Bacterial small subunit ribosomal RNA", at positions 338 to 795 of the family's 1533-position model. Lineage: Bacteria; Pseudomonadati; Pseudomonadota; Gammaproteobacteria; Oceanospirillales; Halomonadaceae. The record is from RNAcentral.
CCUACGGGUGGCAGCAGUGGGGAAUAUUGGACAAAGGGGGCAACCCUGAUCCAGCCAUGCCGCGUGUGUGAAGAAGGCCCUCGGGUUGUAAAGCACUUUCAGUGAGGAAGAACGCCUGGUGGUUAAUACCCAUCAGGAAAGACAUCACUCACAGAAGAAGCACCGGCUAACUCCGUGCCAGCAGCCGCGGUAAUACGGAGGGUGCGAGCGUUAAUCGGAAUUACUGGGCGUAAAGCGCGCGUAGGUGGCUUGAUAAGCCGGUUGUGAAAGCCCCGGGCUCAACCUGGGAACGGCAUCCGGAACUGUCAAGCUAGAGUGCAGGAGAGGAAGGUAGAAUUCCCGGUGUAGCGGUGAAAUGCGUAGAGAUCGGGAGGAAUACCAGUGGCGAAGGCGGCCUUCUGGACUGACACUGACACUGAGGUGCGAAAGCGUGGGUAGCAAACAGGAUUAGAUACCCUUGUAGUC